This 497-nucleotide ribosomal RNA is filed under the name uncultured bacterium. Its description in RNAcentral is "partial 16S ribosomal RNA". It matches the Rfam family "Bacterial small subunit ribosomal RNA", at positions 28 to 507 of the family's 1533-position model. The record is from RNAcentral.
GAUGAACGCUGGCGGCGUGCCUAAUACAUGCAAGUCGAGCGAACAGAUGAGGAGCUUGCUCCUCUGACGUUAGCGGCGGACGGGUGAGUAACACGUGGAUAACCUACCUAUAAGACUGGGAUAACUUCGGGAAACCGGAGCUAAUACCGGAUAAUAUAUUGAACCGCAUGGUUCAAUAGUGAAAGACGGUUUUGCUGUCACUUAUAGAUGGAUCCGCGCCGCAUUAGCUAGUUGGUAAGGUAACGGCUUACCAAGGCAACGAUGCGUAGCCGACCUGAGAGGGUGAUCGGCCACACUGGAAAUGAGACAAGGUCCAGACUCCUACGGGAGGCAGCAGUAGGGAAUCUUCCGCAAUGGGCGAAAGCCUGACGGAGCAACGCCGCGUGAGUGAUGAAGGUCUUCGGAUCGUAAAACUCUGUUAUUAGGGAAGAACAAAUGUGUAAGUAACUAUGCACGUCUUGACGGUACCUAAUCAGAAAGCCACGGCUAACUACGUG